This 404-nucleotide ribosomal RNA is filed under the name Actinomycetes bacterium. Its description in RNAcentral is "Actinobacteria bacterium partial 16S ribosomal RNA". It matches the Rfam family "Bacterial small subunit ribosomal RNA", at positions 355 to 776 of the family's 1533-position model. Lineage: Bacteria; Bacillati; Actinomycetota; Actinomycetes. The record is from RNAcentral.
UGGGGAAUAUUGGACAAUGGGCGCAAGACUGAUCCAGACAUGCCGCGUGAGUGAUGAAGGGCGUAGGGUUGUAAAGCUAUUUCACCGGGGAAGAUAAUGACGGUAACGGGAGAAGAAGCAGAGGGGAACUUCGUGACAGCAGCGGAGGUAAUACGAAGGGGGCAAGCGUGGUUGGGAGUUAUUGGGCGUAAAGGGAACGUAGGCGGAGGAUUAAGUCAGGGGUGAAAUCCCGGGGCUCAACCCCGAAACUGCCUUUGAUACUGGUGGUCUUGAGUGCGGGAGGGGUGAGUGGAAUUCCGGGUGUAGAGGUGAAAUUCGUAGAUAUCGGGAGGAACACCAGUGGCGAAGGCGGCUCACUGGAUCGAUACUGACGCUGAGGUGCGAAAGCGGGGGGAGCAAACAGG